RNAcentral lists this ribosomal RNA (301 nucleotides) under uncultured bacterium. RNAcentral describes it as "partial 16S ribosomal RNA". It matches the Rfam family "Bacterial small subunit ribosomal RNA", at positions 509 to 807 of the family's 1533-position model. The record is from RNAcentral.
CAGCAGCCGCGGGAAUACGUAGGUGGCAAGCGUUAUCCGGAAUUAUUGGGCGUAAAGCGCGCGUAGGCGGUUUUUUAAGUCUGAUGUGAAAGCCCACGGCUCAACCGUGGAGGGUCAUUGGAAACUGGAAAACUUGAGUGCAGAAGAGGAAAGUGGAAUUCCAUGUGUAGCGGUGAAAUGCGCAGAGAUAUGGAGGAACACCAGUGGCGAAGGCGACUUUCUGGUCUGUAACUGACGCUGAUGUGCGAAAGUGUGGGGAUCAAACAGGAUUAGAUACCCGUGUAGUCCCUGUCUCUUAUAC